This 292-nucleotide ribosomal RNA is filed under the name uncultured Acidobacteriota bacterium. RNAcentral's name for it is "uncultured Acidobacteria bacterium partial 16S ribosomal RNA". Lineage: Bacteria; Pseudomonadati; Acidobacteriota. The record is from RNAcentral.
GGACUACAAGGGUUUCUAAUCCUGUUUGCUACCCACGCUUUCGUGCCUCAGCGUCAGUUACGGUCCAGAAAGCCGUUUACACCACAGGUGUUCCUCCUGAUAUCUACGCAUUUCACCGCUACACCAGGAAUUCCACUUUCCUCUCCCGCACUCUAGCCUCUCAGUAUCCGGCGCACCCUCCCAGUUGAGCCAGGAGAUUUCACACCAGACUUAAAAAGCCGCCUACGCACCCUUUACGCCCAGUAACUCCGAACAACGCUUGCUGCCUACGUAUUACCGCGGCUGCUGGCAC